RNAcentral lists this ribosomal RNA (435 nucleotides) under uncultured bacterium. Its description in RNAcentral is "partial 16S ribosomal RNA". It matches the Rfam family "Bacterial small subunit ribosomal RNA", at positions 29 to 507 of the family's 1533-position model. The record is from RNAcentral.
AGCGAACGCUGGCGGCAGGCUUAACACAUGCAAGUCGAGCGGGCACUUUCGGGUGUCAGCGGCGGACGGGUGAGUAACGCGGGGGAACGUGCCCUCUGGUUCGGAAUAACUCAGGGAAACUUGAGCUAAUACCGGAUACGCCCUUUUGGGGAAAGGCUUGCUGCCGGAGGAUCGGCCCGCGUCUGAUUAGCUAGUUGGUGAGGUAACGGCUCACCAAGGCGACGAUCAGUAGCGGGUCUGAGAGGAUUGUCAGCCACACUGGGACUGAGACACGGCCCAGACUCCUACGGGAGGCAGCAGUGGGGAAUAUUGGACAAUGGGCGCAAGCCUGAUCCAGCCAUGACGCGUGAGUGAUGAAGGUCUUAGGGUUGUAAAGCUCUUUUAUCCGGGACGAUAAUGACGGUACCGGAGGAAUAAGCCCCGGCUAACUUCGUG